Molecule: unclassified non-coding RNA, 400 nt
Filed under: plant metagenome
Description: partial contains 5.8S ribosomal RNA, internal transcribed spacer 2, and large subunit ribosomal RNA
Rfam family: 5.8S ribosomal RNA (bases 1-105)
Source: RNAcentral
GAAAUGCGAUACGUAGUGUGAAUUGCAGAAAACCGUGAACCAUCGAAUCUUUGAACGCAUAUUGCGCUCGAGGCCUCGGCCGAGAGCAUGUCUGCCUCAGCGUCGGGUUAAUACUCGCUCUCCAAUCCCUGUGUGAUUGGUGGAACGGAUCUGGUGGUCCCAAUAAUAAACUUACCGCGGUGGAGUAAUUUUAACUAAUUACUCCUACUAUAGGUUUGUGUAUCUUGGGUCCGCUGAAGCGCAGAGGAUGAUGUAUGGCCUGCUAUGGGCCGCAACUGGGUGGGCAAUUCGUUGCUAAAUUCUAGUUGUUGGCUUGGGACAAACAUCUUCCCUCAACCAGGAAACAUAUUAACCAUUUUCUCGACCUGAGCUCAGGCAAGAUUACCCGCUGAACUUAAGC